UUUUUCAAGGUUUGAUUACAUGGCCAAAAGUGAAAACAACACACGUGGGAAAAAAGCAUGGAGCAUAUGCCACAGAUGUGCCAAGGAGAGGAGGUUUCCCCGAAGCCAGUUCCUCCCGGAAGCCACAGGUGUUUCUGAGCAGACCCAGGAUCUAAGCCCUGUCCUGUUUCAAUAUCUGAAGAAAGCUAUGUACCAAGUUCCGUCCAAGAUGGAUAAUCCAAACCUGAGAUUCUCCAAACCAUGAUUACUUCACAGGACUUUUUUCUCUUCAGGCCCCUGAGCAAACCAGCAGGUGCACCACAAGAUAGAGAGAUGUACUUGGUACAGAGAAGAUCUGGGUUCCCUGACUGGUGCGUGUGUGAGGCUGCUUCCAGGAACUGCAGGAAUAGACCUUUCCCAACCGCAGGAAUAGACCUUUCCCAUAAGCAAGUUGUCCUGUUGAUCCCGAGUCCAAGAAUGGCCCUGUCUUCCCAGGUAGAAGGUUCCCUGUGGACUGCAUGGCAGGAGUUUUCACCCAGGGUUGAGGACAAGGAGCAUCCAUCCCGUGCCGGCACCUCAGCGUCAUCAAUAAGCAGCCGGCAGGUUGUCAGAAGAGACCUGCUGUGUGCUGUGUCAAUUUUUGAAAAGAAAAGAGUUAUUCUCAAUGCAUUUUGUGUCAAUCCAAUACUGCAUGAACUGUGCUCUUAG
RNAcentral lists this long non-coding RNA (687 nucleotides) under Struthio camelus australis. Its description in RNAcentral is "lncRNA (ENSSCUG00000014025.1)". The record is from RNAcentral. Lineage: Eukaryota; Metazoa; Chordata; Aves; Struthioniformes; Struthionidae.